GGGCAGAGUGGGGAGUAGGAGACUGUUCUGCAGAGGGAAUGUCACCGGAGGAGAGGGAGAACUUCAUUUCAAUGCUGAAGCAAAAGGCUGGAGUAAAUGAAUGAAGCAUUUGAAUUUGGAGCAACUGUUGCAUAGGAAAUCAUCAUUUAGAACUGAAAUAGUUUCUUUUUGUAGGAUUACUGGAGAGAUUAUCAGCUGUCUCUUUCUUGUUUUUCCGGAUGAUAUGCAUAUGAUGCCAAUAUUCUAACAGAGCCAGUAUGCUCUUGAGUUCAUUUCACAAAUACAUUUGUAUUUAUCUUUCCUCUUCCUUCACCCUUGCACAAUACUAAUGGAUAUUGCCAUGUAUAAAUCAACAUAGCAAUAAAUCUGUCAGCAGUUGCAACAUGCAAAUACACACAGUGAACCAGCUGUGCUUCAUCUUAAUUUUUUUUUUCUCAAUCAAAUAUCAAUUACAUUGUUAUUUACUCCCAAUAAUCAAACCAACCAGUGAACCAGGCAGCCAUGCAUAUUAAUUUAGUAAAAGAAUAGACAUGUAAUUGCUAUUACAAAAUACAAGCAUUGAACAACUGACAACUCAGUACUCACCUUCACCGGCACGAGAGCAACGACGGAGAGAGGCUGCAACGGCCGGCGAGAUGAAUGAGGUGACGACUGACCAGCAGCGGCUGGCGAAGAUGAGGCAGUAAACGAGCGGCGGCUGACAGUGGUGGAUCCUUAAAAUUUUGUUUGACGAUGAAUCCCCCCAUCCUUGCCCAGCGGAUAUACGAUUAGCCAAUUAUUUACCUGUAAUUGCCGAAUUGACCAAACCGAUUGGGUUCAUUGAGAAAUAGUAUCUAGUGAUGGGGCAUUAGCGAUAUUUAUAGAAAAUUGGAGGAGUGGUUUUGUCAAAUUCCACAAAAG
This 900-nucleotide long non-coding RNA is filed under the name Citrus sinensis (sweet orange). Its description in RNAcentral is "long non-coding RNA (CSIN_LNC002788)". Lineage: Eukaryota; Viridiplantae; Streptophyta; Magnoliopsida; Sapindales; Rutaceae. The record is from RNAcentral.